UUGUAAGUUGAAUAAUUUUGGUGUUUCUACAAAAUUAUUAGGAACUGCAUAAGUAAUUCCCGAGAGAUCGAUAACCUUCGAUCCAUCGAUCAUCCCACUUAUUGUUAUCCAAAAUGGCAGAUCGUGCAGUGGUCGAAGGCGUGAAGGUGAAGACAGAUGAUGACCAUGAUGACCGUGAUGACACUCAAGUUUUCAUCAGUGAUAGUAGUGAAACAAGUGAGCGCCAGAAGAGAUAGUGUCCAACAUCAAGAUUGAGCCUGAUGACAGUGAACUGGAGCUGCAGAUAGCCCUCGCGAAAGCAUGGAGACUGAAGCUGCAGGAGGCUGUUACAGAAUCAAAGAAUAGUGUGGAAAAGGUGGCAGAGGCAGUACUGGAGAGAAACUCAGAAGGAAACACGGAAGGUGGUUCCAUUGUGCUGAAUGGUACUGCAGAAUUCUGCCGACUUUGAGAGGAAAGUGAUUGAAGGGAAGAAACGUCAGGAAGAAGGCAAAUGGAACUUGGAAUGAAGUUGAGAUUGAGAUGAUGAAAAGUUUGGGCGUUGCGAGCGCUACAGUGGUCCAACUUCAGACUUCAAAGAGGAGGAGGAGGGCUACUGACCAGAUGUUAAACUCGACUACACAGAUAAUGAUGCACAUGUGCGUAAUGCAAAGGAGGC
Cryptotermes secundus is the source of this 655-nucleotide long non-coding RNA. RefSeq lists it as uncharacterized. The record is from RefSeq and is a predicted model, not a curated record. The transcript has 5 exons. Lineage: Eukaryota; Metazoa; Arthropoda; Insecta; Blattodea; Kalotermitidae.